AAACCUUCCUAAUAUUACAGUUAAGGUGAUACUUCCUUCUGUUUCCUGCUCUUCAGGGUAGAGGAGGCGGAGGUGGUGUACCCAGACGGAAAGACCUGCAAAUACCCAGAGUUGGCCUACAGGAAGGAGAAGCUGUCCAGCGACUUCAUCAACAGGAAGGUCGGCAUCAACGAGUCCACGGAGACGAUCGCUCGGCUGCUGACGAAGAUGUGUCUCCGCUCCGAGGUCACGGGGGUCGGCGACGAGAUCGAGGUCGAGAUCCCGCCCACGCGCUCAGACGUGAUUCACGCCUGUGACAUCAUGGAGGACGCCGCCAUGGCGUACGGCUUCAACAACAUCCCCUACACCACGCCACGCACAUACACCGUGGCCAAUCAGGUGCCUG
Molecule: long non-coding RNA, 385 nt
Organism: Notothenia coriiceps (black rockcod)
Lineage: Eukaryota; Metazoa; Chordata; Actinopteri; Perciformes; Nototheniidae
Exons: 3
Source: RefSeq, a predicted model, not a curated record